GAAUAUCACGGCUUGUAGUCUCGAACGGGUCGUCGUCUGCGUAGGACUACUAUGGAGCGCAGGCAGCCCCAAGCACGCGCCUUCUAAUGGCGCUGCAGUAGGCGGCGACGCUUUGUACGUAUAACACUGAGCUGAGCCUGUCCGCACCAGGAGCGCCCAUGGGCACGAGUCCCGCUCUGCCAGAGUGCGCCAGCUCCCAAGCGAUUGUGCCUUCGUCAUGUCAGCCGGGGCGCCGGUGGCGUUUGACACCAGCGACGAUUGAUCAUGACCGGGUUGUGAGGACGUACCAUACCGGGUGGCGAAGACAUCCACGGCUGGCGCGACCGAUGACGACCAGCUGGAAGCUCGAAGCAACGAGAGAAGGACGGCAUCUCUAUGGAACUUUGCAAACCGUACAGGCGCUCGCCACGGCUUUUGCCCCUCAGGGGAUUGUUGCUUCGUUCCUCGCUCAUGACCACCUUAGACUCGUCAUAGCGGAUCUUCAAAAAGCAUCCAGCUAUCUUGCACACGUCGCUGACAUCGCUGCGGUACCGCUAGCCGCGGAUACCACGAUCGAUAACCUGACAUGCAAAGCGACCGUCACCCGCUGGAGCGAGGAGGGGCUAGGGGACCGACCGAACCCCUUCGGUACCGAUUUCGAAGUCGUCUCCAACGGCAUAUCAGCGGACCACACAAGGAAGCUGGCCUCACUUGUUAUCAAUCACUUAUAGAUUGUUGCUUCGUUCCUCGCUCAUGACCACCUUAGACUCGUCAUAGCGGAUCUUCAAAAAGCAUCCAGCUAUCUUGCACACGUCGCUGACAUCGCUGCGGUACCGCUAGCCGCGGAUACCACGAUUGAUAACCAGACAUGCGAAGUGACCGUGACCCGCUGGAGCGAGCAGGGAUUAGGGGACCGACCCAACCCUUUCGGUACCGACUUGGAAGUAGUCUCCAAUGGUAUAUCACCGGACCACACCAGAAAGCUGGCCUCACUCGUGAUAAAUCAUUUACAGCUUGCCGCAGUGUUGGUUGCUCAGGAUCAGGUACUGGUCCGCGUAACCAACAACAGUCAAGCGUCCGCAUAUUCAUCCCAAAAGCCGGAAUAUCCUUCUGAGCUGGCCGCAAGCAACACAGCGGUAAAAGCUGGAACAAUGCUCGUGACGAUCGUACGUCGAUCGGACGGCGGUACCGGCGAUCUUCCGUUUACAUACGGAACAAUAAUCCGGGCCCACUUCAAGGGGUUCAAUCCCUCGUUCGCCAAGAAGCUGCUAGGCGUCGUCCUGCAGGAGCUGGAAACUUAGUACUAGUAAUAAAUGUCAAGACACCACGGCGGUGUCGACAUAUUGA
Dermacentor andersoni is the source of this 1326-nucleotide long non-coding RNA. RefSeq lists it as uncharacterized. Lineage: Eukaryota; Metazoa; Arthropoda; Arachnida; Ixodida; Ixodidae. The record is from RefSeq and is a predicted model, not a curated record.